UACAGAGGGUGCGAGCGUUGUCCGGAAUCACUGGGCGUAAAGGGCGCGUAGGUGGCGACCCAAGUCGAUGGUGAAAGCUCGCCGCUUAACGGCGAGUCGGCCACCGAUACUGGGUUGCUUGAGCACUGUAGAGGCUAAUGGAAUUCCGGGUGUAGCGGUGGAAUGCGUAGAGAUCCGGAAGAACACCGGUGGCGAAGGCGGAUCUCUGGGCCUUACCUGACGCUGAGGCGCGAAAGCUAGGGGAGCGAACAGG
RNAcentral lists this ribosomal RNA (253 nucleotides) under uncultured bacterium. RNAcentral's name for it is "partial 16S ribosomal RNA". It matches the Rfam family "Bacterial small subunit ribosomal RNA", at positions 524 to 776 of the family's 1533-position model. The record is from RNAcentral.